UUCAUUGAUUUCUUUGCCUCUUGCAUAUCUUCAGGACUGAGAAAUAAAUCACCUCUCUUCUUCGGAGUGGGUUUAGGAAUAGGCUCAGGAGUUGGCUCAAUUGGUUCAGGAAUUGCCUCAGGAAUUGGCUCAGUAAGAGUCCAAUUAUUUUCAUUAGUCAACAUAUUAUUCAAUAGUAGUUCAGCUUCGUCGACUGUUCUUUCCCUAAAAUCACAACCAGCACAACUAUCCAAGUAGUCCUUGGAAGCAUUGGUUAGUCCAUUAUAAAAGAUAUCAAGUAUUUCAUUUUUCUUAAGAGGAUGAUCAGGCAGAGCAUUAAGUAACCAGAGAAGCCUCCCCCAAGCUUGUGGGAGACUCUCUUCUUUGAUUUGCACAAAAUUAUAUAUUUCCCGCAAGGCAACUUGUUUCUUAUGAGCAGUGAAAUAUUUAGCAGAGAAGUAAUAAAUCAUAUCCUGGGGACUACGCACACAACCAGGAGAAAGAGAAUUAUACCAAGUCUUAGCAUCACCCUUUAAUGAGAACGGAAAUAUCUUAAGGAUAUAAUAAUAGCGAGACUUCUCAUCAUGAGUAAACAGGGUAGCUAUGUCAUUCAACUUGGUAAGAUGUGCCACAAUAGUUUCAGAUUCAAGGCCAUAAAAAGGAUCAGAUUCAACUAAAGUAAUAAUCUCAGGAUCAAUAGAGAAUUCAUAAUCCUUAUCAGUAACAUAGAUAGGUGAAGUAGCAAAAGCAGGGUCAGGUUUCAUUCUAGCAUUAAGAGACUGUUGCUUCCAUUUAGCUAAUAAUUUCUUAAGAUCAUAUCUAUCAUUGCAAGCAAAGAUAGCUCUAGCAGCUUCUUCAUUCAUAAUAUAACCCUCAGGAACAACAGGCUAUUCAUAAUCAUUUGGAGAAUUUUCAUCAUCACUAUGAUCAAUAAUAGCAUCCUCAAUAAUUUCAUUCCCCCUAACUCUAGCAAGUUGUUCAUCAAGAAAUUCACCUAAUGGCAAAGUAGUAUCACACAUAGAAGUAGUUUCAUCAU
Molecule: ribosomal RNA, 1015 nt
Filed under: Triticum aestivum (bread wheat)
Lineage: Eukaryota; Viridiplantae; Streptophyta; Magnoliopsida; Poales; Poaceae
Description: partial small subunit ribosomal RNA
Source: RNAcentral